AGCUUAUUGACAUUAUAUAAUAAGUAAUUUCUGCCCAGUGAUAUUAUUUCAACGGCCGCGGUACCCUGACCGUGCAAAGGUAGCAUAAUCACUUGCCUUUUUAUUGGAGGCUWGAAUGAAUGAAUAAACAAGGAUUUUACUCUCCCUUAUAUUACAAUAAAAAUUAUUCUUUAGGUGAAAAAACCUAAAUUCAAAAAAAAGACAAGAAGACCCUAUCAAGCUUAAUAUUUAUAAAAUCUUAUUUAUUUAAAUAUUUGAUUGGGGAGAUUAAUGGAGUUAAUAUUCCUCCACUAUAAAAAAGAAAAAUUUUUCUUAAAAUUUAAUAAUUUAAUAUAAUAAAGCUACUGUAGGGAUAACAGGCUUAUAUCUUCCUAGAGUUCAAAUUAAAGAAGAUGAUUGGCACCUCGAUGUUGGCUUAGGGUCCCUAAAAUUUGCAGUAAAAUUUCAAGGKAGUUUGUUCAACUAUUAAACCCCU
This 475-nucleotide ribosomal RNA is filed under the name Procerastea sp. AAN-2002. RNAcentral describes it as "partial 16S ribosomal RNA". It matches the Rfam family "Archaeal large subunit ribosomal RNA", at positions 1911 to 2668 of the family's 2987-position model. The record is from RNAcentral. Lineage: Eukaryota; Metazoa; Annelida; Polychaeta; Phyllodocida; Syllidae.